RNAcentral lists this ribosomal RNA (451 nucleotides) under uncultured bacterium. Its description in RNAcentral is "bacterial SSU rRNA". It matches the Rfam family "Bacterial small subunit ribosomal RNA", at positions 329 to 793 of the family's 1533-position model. The record is from RNAcentral.
UUCCAGACUCCUACGGGAGGCAGCAGUGGGGAAUAUUGGACAAUGGGGGGAACCCUGAUCCAGCGACGCCGCGUGAGUGAAGAAGUAUUUCGGUAUGUAAAGCUCUAUCAGCAGGGAAGAAAGAAAUGACGGUACCUGACUAAGAAGCCCCGGCUAACUACGUGCCAGCAGCCGCGGUAAUACGUAGGGGGCAAGCGUUAUCCGGAUUUACUGGGUGUAAAGGGAGCGUAGACGGCAAUGCAAGUCUGGAGUGAAAGGCGGGGGCCCAACCCCCGGACUGCUCUGGAAACUGUAUAGCUGGAGUGCAGGAGAGGUAAGUGGAAUUCCUAGUGUAGCGGUGAAAUGCGUAGAUAUUAGGAGGAACACCAGUGGCGAAGGCGGUCUGCUGAACAGCAACUGACGCUGAGGCGCGAAAGCGUGGGGAGCAAACAGGAUUAGAUCCCCCCGUACG